UACGAAGGGGGCUAGCGUUGCUCGGAAUCACUGGGCGUAAAGCGCGCGCAGGCGGUCCUUUAAGUCAGGGGUGAAAGCCCAGAGCUCAACUCUGGAACUGCCUUUGAAACUAGAGGACUUGGGUACGGGAGAGGUGAGUGGAAUUCCGAGUGUAGAGGUGAAAUUCGUAGAUAUUCGGAAGAACACCAGUGGCGAAGGCGGCUCACUGGCCCGUUACCGACGCUCAGGCGCGACAGUGUGGGGAGCAAACAGG
RNAcentral lists this ribosomal RNA (253 nucleotides) under uncultured bacterium. Its description in RNAcentral is "partial 16S ribosomal RNA". It matches the Rfam family "Bacterial small subunit ribosomal RNA", at positions 524 to 776 of the family's 1533-position model. The record is from RNAcentral.